This is a long non-coding RNA of Drosophila obscura, 872 nucleotides long. RefSeq lists it as uncharacterized. The record is from RefSeq and is a predicted model, not a curated record. Lineage: Eukaryota; Metazoa; Arthropoda; Insecta; Diptera; Drosophilidae. The transcript is spliced from 5 exons.
AAAUUGUUCUUAAUUUAUUUUUUGUUUCUUUUAUUUUUAGAAUGUGAGUACAAAAUUAUUGUAAAAUUAAAAUGGAAUAUAUUACUGAAAAUAGCUGAACACAUAACACAGUAAUACAAAUAUCAUUCACCUAUGAAAAAAACACUUUGGAUCCCAAGCAGGGCACCCCUUAUUAUGCACGAAAAAAGGGAUCCAAAACCUUGAGCUGCGAAUUGCCCCCCAAUUUAUAAUUACUCACUCAUUCAAGGCAAACAAUUUGAAUGCUUCGCCAACAAACAAAAAAAAAACAUGAAAGGAGUCCGCUUGGCAUCCGACUAGAAUAUACUUAUUACUCAAGUUUAUUUUAAGAUCAAAAUGCAAUUUGGUGGGAAUGCCUUGGGAUUUGACUUCAAUUGCUCCCAACUGUUUUUUUCCGCUGUUUCUGCUGCUGCAAAUAAUUAUCAAGAAUUCACACAAAACACACUUUUGGGGAUGCCAAAGGGGAAUAACAAAAUCUGCUAUUUAUUCUAUUAAAUUUUUGUAUCUGCUGGAUGCGACGCUUCUGCUAAGCGGCUUCUGCUAAUCUUCCUCCUGCUGGGCCACAGCCCAGUGUCAAACGUGUCACUGGCAAGAUUUAACUCAAGAUUUACACAGCAAAAAAAGUUCUACGCAAAGAGUAGGAUUUUUGUAUUAAAUAUGAAACAGGAAUAAUAUUAAACUGUCCACAAAAGAUCAAUAUGAGCUCCGAUAUGUAUUUUCUAACACUUAUUCUUUGGCAAGGACACGCUCUGAAAAACGACACUUGAUCGCUUUCCGCUGCAAUCUUUUUGUAUGUAAAUUAAUUAUAGUAACUAAAUUGACUUAAAGUGCACUAAAAUCAAUUUAAUUGUAAA